This 860-nucleotide ribosomal RNA is filed under the name Bacillus amyloliquefaciens. Its description in RNAcentral is "bacterial SSU rRNA". It matches the Rfam family "Bacterial small subunit ribosomal RNA", at positions 56 to 898 of the family's 1533-position model. The record is from RNAcentral. Lineage: Bacteria; Bacillati; Bacillota; Bacilli; Caryophanales; Bacillaceae.
UGCAGUCGAGCGGACAGAUGGGAGCUUGCUCCCUGAUGUUAGCGGCGGACGGGUGAGUAACACGUGGGUAACCUGCCUGUAAGACUGGGAUAACUCCGGGAAACCGGGGCUAAUACCGGAUGCUUGUUUGAACCGCAUGGUUCAAACAUAAAAGGUGGCUUCGGCUACCACUUACAGAUGGACCCGCGGCGCAUUAGCUAGUUGGUGAGGUAACGGCUCACCAAGGCGACGAUGCGUAGCCGACCUGAGAGGGUGAUCGGCCACACUGGGACUGAGACACGGCCCAGACUCCUACGGGAGGCAGCAGUAGGGAAUCUUCCGCAAUGGACGAAAGUCUGACGGAGCAACGCCGCGUGAGUGAUGAAGGUUUUCGGAUCGUAAAGCUCUGUUGUUAGGGAAGAACAAGUGCCGUUCAAAUAGGGCGGCACCUUGACGGUACCUAACCAGAAAGCCACGGCUAACUACGUGCCAGCAGCCGCGGUAAUACGUAGGUGGCAAGCGUUGUCCGGAAUUAUUGGGCGUAAAGGGCUCGCAGGCGGUUUCUUAAGUCUGAUGUGAAAGCCCCCGGCUCAACCGGGGAGGGUCAUUGGAAACUGGGGAACUUGAGUGCAGAAGAGGAGAGUGGAAUUCCACGUGUAGCGGUGAAAUGCGUAGAGAUGUGGAGGAACACCAGUGGCGAAGGCGACUCUCUGGUCUGUAACUGACGCUGAGGAGCGAAAGCGUGGGGAGCGAACAGGAUUAGAUACCCUGGUAGUCCACGCCGUAAACGAUGAGUGCUAAGUGUUAGGGGUUUCCGCCCCUUAGUGCUGCAGCUAACGCAUUAAGCACUCCGCCUGGGGGAGUACGGUCGCAAGACUGAA